Non-coding RNA from Oryza sativa Japonica Group (Japanese rice), 5266 nucleotides. The record is from RefSeq and is a predicted model, not a curated record. NCBI's taxonomy places the organism in Eukaryota, Viridiplantae, Streptophyta, Magnoliopsida, Poales, Poaceae.
UUGCAGAUCCAACUCCUCGGCCUUCUAUUCCUUCAACCACGCAAGCCCAUAGUCCGGGUACAGGCCGCCGGUGCGGAGAUGCAGGAGCGAAGGGGCGUCGACGGCGGCGCUGUCCUCCCCGAUCUCGACGGCGGCGCUGUUCUCCCCGAUCCCGGCGUGCCAGUUUCGGGUCGCCGCGUGCGCCUCUCUUCCCCUCGCCGCCGUGAUCAGCACCCCAGCGGUUAGUACUCGUCUGCUGCUUAUGGAGUUCUAGACACCGACAUGGGCGAUUUUGAUUAUCGAAUGGGAAUUGGGAAAAAGCCCUAAUCCUACCGUUUCUUCUAGUUCCGCUGUCUCGUGCAAAAUUAUGGAAUUAAUCUUGCCAAGCUAGGUUGAAACGGGAUGUGCAGUUUGCCAAUUUCGGAAUUAGUGCGGUUCCUUUGCGAUUAGCAUGUUACUCCCAUGAUAGCCUAUGUUAAUUUCCCCCUCUGCAAUGCCAAUGAUAACUUGACUGUAAGAAUUUGUCGCCGCCGGUUAGUUCUUUGUCCGUGCACCACGAUUUUCACUCCAGAGUCCAUAUACUUGCGUGCAAAGUAAGCUGCGUCUCCAUCUUGGUAUAGUAGUACUUUUCAAAUGGGAGUAUUUUACGGCUAAUGUUUCUCCUCUUAAUUGUUUGUGGGUUGUCUAUCUUUUGCUUGUUCUAUCCUCCAAAUUUGUUUGGAUUUGGUUGGCCAAGGUCCUCCUCCGUCUGGCUAUCUCUCUCGUUUGCCAAACUUUUAGAUUUGGAAAGAUUGACGGGUGGUGGCAUGGUAGGGGACGGCAGAUUGACAUAUAUUGGAGCAAGCGGCAAGUGGUGCUCCGGAUAUGAUUUUUCUGGACAUCAUAUCUGCAGCAAGCGUUUUGCGAGGAAGUGCUUUGUCUUUUUAAAAUGUGUCACGGGUUAACGUAGGAUGCUAUUACUCGCACUAGCUAAUUAUUUUGUUUAUCUGAAAACGAACGCCACCGUUGAAAUACGAGUAGAUGCAGUACAUCUCCAAAAAAAAUAAAAAAUCUUGAGGUCAGGGUUAGUGACAUCUUGCAACAGGUGUUAUGAAUAUUUUUAAGUGCAGAAUAUGCUACCGUGGUGGUCUUGAGCACUAGCAAGAGGUAAAGCUAUAUGCCACAGCAUUGCCAUGUAAGUGCUUUCAUCAUAUAUUUUCCAGUUCUGUGAAAAGCUAGCUUGUGUAUGUAGUGUGGACAUGCUUAGAAACAAAUGCCCAAGCCAGUAACUUCAUUAACUUUGGAUAUACUAAUAUACUUUGAAAUGCAUACCGAGGUAGAAAGUAUAGGUGGACUUUAAAUAGCUUAGCGGCGGCCAAUUCGGUGCUAGGCUUCUCCUGGUUCCGUGUGUUGGAGCUGUCGACGUGUGGGUGGUGGUAUACUUUUUUUUCUUUUCCUGGUUACGAUCUUACGGGGUUGUAAUCUUGUAAUUUUUCUUCUGCUCUAUCAAUAGAACUUCGCACCAUCUUGUGCGAGUUGUUCAAAAAAAAACUUUAAAUAGCUGGUAUUUGUUGUGUUGUCUUUGUAGAAGACUUGUCCAAACUUGGCCAUUAGCACAUCGUCUUGUAAUUGACAGGUGGAGAGGAUGACUCAUUAUGCACAUCUCUAUCUUGCAUUUCUCAUGUGUCGGUUUACAACCAAAAUGCUUUGCUCUUGCAGUAUCCAACCUUAUUUUUUUUCUAAUGGGGGCAACAGAGGGUGGUUUGGAAAAUGCUUUGGUCACAGCUGAACUUGAGAUCUUGAAAGAAGAGAAACUUCAGUUGCUAUCUGGCAGUCGGUACUGAGCACCAUGCAUCGCCAUCUGCUUUGCUUUCAGCAUCUUCUUACUCACCCAACUUAAGGAUGUAACAAACCCACCAUGGAUGCCUGUGGAGCAAUUCUCUCCCUUCUUUUUACCUGCCAAAGCUUCCUUCCAUGAUGCCUCCUUUUUCCUUCAUUUUUCCUCUUUCCAUUUAGCCUCUCUUGGUGGCAUCAUGCUCACCAAAGGAAUGGACUUGGCAUCCAUUUGGUGCUAAUCUCUAAGCUGCUGGCUGUAUUGCAUAAGUAUUCUUUAAGGAUCCUAGAUAGUAUUUGUGGGUGUCCUGACUAUAAUGGAGGAGGUACCAUCCCCACUUUCCUACUGGUUGUGUAUAACCCCUGAAACCAAUGAGCUUUGCUUGUGGCUUUCCUCGUCUGUACUCCAGCUUUAUUCCCAUUCUCUUAUCGUGCACCUGUUCCUCUCUUCAUGUUUCUCGGUGGCAUCUAACAAUGCUGAUGGAUAUAUCUGCAGGCGUCUUGAUGCAUCCUAUGCUUCUUCCUUAAGAUAAGAAGAGCAAUGGUGUUUAUUACAUUACCAUAUUAGCAUGACGAAGGUUGCUCAUUAGUAUAUCAAUAUAUGAAUCUCUGAAUUUGUUUAUGACCCAUUUCUUUGAGCUGCGUAUACGUAUACUUAAUACAUGUUAUUUUGAAAUAUCUACUUAAUACAUGUAAAGAAAAUGGAAGGAAAAGUAGAAGAGAUCCAUAAAGUGGAUAUCUAUCAUAAGGUUGCAGAGUUGGAUUAAGCGUGUACGGACAUUAGUGGGCCUUGCGGCAUGACUUUGUUAGUACUUCUGCAUACCUGUGGUAGUACCAUAAUGCAGCAUUAGAUUCAUCUUAAACAUAUAUAUUUAUUUCUUUGUCCAUGCUUACCUGCAAAGUCUACAAGGCCAUUAGUCCUUGUGAUUGAGCAAAGCAUCCCCUUCGCGGCAGUCUUAUAAUGGGCUUCUAGCCUUGUGCCUUAUAUAUUCUUGCCAUUCAACUAGGCUUCAUUACUUUUAGGACCCAUGAAGCCAUGUACCUGCAUUCAACUAACUGCCAUCAAAUGUGUUAGGUUUCUCUUCUUAGCGUCUAAACUAGGCUGAAGCAAACUGAUCUGAUCCUUCUUUCCCUGACGCAAGAUGCUGGUUCGAUUAGGUUGUAUCUUGUGCUAAGGGGGCAAGUACAUGAAAGAUGCAGUCAACACGAUAAGUUGCAAAAUAAUUGUCUAGCUGGCUCCUUAUGGAGCUUUCUAAUGGGUGGACAGCACUAACAAAAAUAAAAUCAUCCUUUCUGCAAUGGACGAAAUGUGAUUAUGGUGCUAACAUUUGACCAACUAGAAGCUACGGUAUCGGAUCAUCCAAACUUUCUUUCAUCCUAUUUCAAACUAGCUGCGGUAUUGGAGUUCAUCGGUGUGCGGGAUUUCAGCGGUAUGUAGGAGCUGUUGUACUCAAAGUCGUCGAUGCGCUUGAGAAGAGAGUCGAGGUAGUCCAAAGUGUAAUUCUUUGUAUGCCUGGUGAAAAUAAAAACAGAAAACAUUUGUUUCAAAAGAUAAGAAAAGAAUUGAAAAACAUAAUUUAUAUUUAAAAAAGAGCAUGUGACUGUCAUCAAGAAGUGGGGUGGAGAGGACUGAAGAGGUUGGCCUUGCUGCAGCCCGUGCCUCGCAAAAUCCAAACAAAUUAAACUCCUGCCUACAAUGGCGACCCGUUCAUGCAAUCCUUUUUCUCUCUUUUUUCCUCUCCAGAGUCCAGUCCAGGCUAGAACCAGCAGCAGUGUGGCCAGCAGCGUCCCUAUUGCUGCAUGUUUUUGCAUCAGCCGGUGACUGAUGAGUGAGUAAGGUUGCUGGGCUGGCCGGCCUCGGUAUCCUGGCUCCCAUUAGGGUGGGCAUCAAAAGACAGUGCAACGCUGCCGUGGACUAGAUGGGCAAAGCAGCAAGCACAGGGCCGACCCUUUGGAAGGGCAUGCCAGCCAGGGGGGCACACAUGGGGAGUAAUGGUGUGGGAGCUGCCGCUGCCGCUGCACUGCGUGGUAGAAACAAAUCUGGGGUCAGAGCUGGCCUAGCGAGAGAGAGAGAGAGAGAGAGAGACCCAAUGCAUGAUGGGGGAAGGAACCUUGUGAUAUGGAGAUGCAGCAUAGCAUAGGGAAGGGCCGAUGCACAUGCCAAUGCCACUGCCGAUCAGGUACAGAUGCUCUCUCUACAGAUCCCUCUAGCUUGGUUGGUUAAUGCUGUUAGGCAUGGAGGUUUGUUGCUUGCUUUACUUUGCUCAAUGGCUAUAGUAAAAGUGGUGAUCAAGAUAAGACAGCAAUGCUGCCUGGAACAGUGAAAAUCUGAAUUAUUAUCAGGGUUUAUGGAGCAAAGAAGUAAAGCAAUCAAGGCAUGCAUGCCUCGCAGGAUAAAUAUAUACACAUCUCUGUCGGAACCUUUUCAGGGUCAUGUCUAUAAUGCCACUUUGCUAAGCCACGGGUUUGCAUUUAGCUUAGUUGAGGCAACAUGAGCUUGGGACCCGCAGAGAGUGUAGCUGUGAAUCUCUGAUUCAUCAGCUUUGUUGCAGUGUGCAGUCACUCACUUAUGAUGUUUUCACCCACACAUACAGAGAGAUACACUCCUAUUUCUUAAAGAUUGCACACAUACAAGAGGAGUCAGUCUCAGUCACUGCGUCCUGCUGCGUGAAGAGGGAAUAGGAAGCAAAUAUUGGAGAGACAAGUGCAGCUGUUGAGACCAGAGAAGGGAGGAGUGGUGGCCUUUGCACUGCUCACAUGAGAAGGAUCAGAAGAGUGUAAUAAUAUAAAGGCAGUGCAUGUGAUGGCGAUUGGUGUGGUUUGGUGCUCCUCCAGGAAACACUCAUCAGUCUCCCGUAGCAUCACUUACUAUAAUAAUUAAAGUCCAAAACACAUUAGCUAGCUGCACGUUAGCAUGUUUAUCCAACCAAGAAGGUGAGGACUGAGCAGGAUAUGAAAGAAAGAAAAGAAGAAAAGGAUGGAAAAAAAGAAAACGGAGACAAGAAUUGCUAAUGGAGGCAACAGGACUACAGAAGAGUAGGUGGGCUAAACAAUGGGGAGGAGGAGCAGCAUCAGAGCAUGGCAUGGAGAAGUGUGAGCUUGGGGCCAAAGGAAAGGAGCUCUCCUCUGACGACGCCCAUAUGCUUUGGUUCUAGCACAGCAUUAAGUAGCGAGAAAGACGGUGUUGGUGAUGGCCAUGAUUCAUGAGAAGUUGCGAAAGUCUCUCAUUAGUGCCUGGAAAUGAAGGUUGUUUAUGCACUUUACCUGCCUUGUGCCCAAAUCCCUUAAUCAAGCUGUUGGAAUCUUUUGUUAAAAUUAAAGGGUUCCUGUACUGCUGUUAAAGUGUCAUGUAUGCAGUUCAAGUAGAUGCAUCAUGCCACCUGCAUAUGUUGGCAGUUGUUGGAGUAUAUUACUGACAUUAUCUCUGCUGUUUUCCCAUUAUUAUACCUGAAUGUAUUCGGUACUUCAAUUGACA